RNAcentral lists this ribosomal RNA (468 nucleotides) under uncultured bacterium. RNAcentral's name for it is "partial 16S ribosomal RNA". It matches the Rfam family "Bacterial small subunit ribosomal RNA", at positions 28 to 507 of the family's 1533-position model. The record is from RNAcentral.
GACGAACGCUGGCGGCGUGCUUAACACAUGCAAGUCGAACGGAAAGGCCCUGCUCUUGUGGGGUGCUCGAGUGGCGAACGGGUGUGUAACACGUGAGUAACCUGCCCUUGACUUUGGGAUAACAUCAGGGAACUGGGGGUAAUAUCCGAGAUGAGAUCCUGCUGCAUGGUGGGGGGUGGAAAGUUUCGGCGUUUGGGGAUGGACUCGCGGCUUAUCAGCUUGUUGGGGUGGUAGGGGCUUACGCAGGCUUUGACGGGUAGCCGGCCUGAGAGGGUGGACGGCGACAUUGGGACUACGAUACGGCCCAGAAUCCUACGGGAGGCAUGAGUGGGGAGUUUUGCACAGUGGGCGGGAGGCUGAUGCAGCGACGCCGGGUGCGGGAUGACGGCCUUCUGGUGGUAAACAGCUUUCGACUGUGACGAGGCGUGAGUGACGGUAAUGGGUAAAGAAGCACCGGCUAACUACGUG